Molecule: transfer RNA, 72 nt
Filed under: Candidatus Portnoybacteria bacterium CG23_combo_of_CG06-09_8_20_14_all_37_13
Lineage: Bacteria; Candidatus Portnoyibacteriota
Description: tRNA-Met
Rfam family: tRNA
About the family: Transfer RNA (tRNA) molecules are approximately 80 nucleotides in length. Their secondary structure includes four short double-helical elements and three loops (D, anti-codon, and T loops). Further hydrogen bonds mediate the characteristic L-shaped molecular structure. tRNAs have two regions of fundamental functional importance: the anti-codon, which is responsible for specific mRNA codon recognition, and the 3' end, to which the tRNAs corresponding amino acid is attached (by aminoacyl-tRNA synthetases). tRNAs cope with the degeneracy of the genetic code in two manners: having more than one tRNA (with a specific anti-codon) for a particular amino acid; and 'wobble' base-pairing, i.e. permitting non-standard base-pairing at the 3rd anti-codon position.
Source: RNAcentral
GUCAGAGUAGCUCAGAGGCAGAGCAUACGUUUCAUAAGCGUGAGGCCGCGGGUUCGAAUCCCGCCUCUGACA